Lampris incognitus (smalleye Pacific opah) is the source of this 240-nucleotide long non-coding RNA. RefSeq lists it as uncharacterized. NCBI's taxonomy places the organism in Eukaryota, Metazoa, Chordata, Actinopteri, Lampriformes, Lampridae. The transcript is spliced from 3 exons. The record is from RefSeq and is a predicted model, not a curated record.
GCGAUGGCAGACCAGAUUGGCAACAACAGUGGCUUUAACAUUGCUAACAACUCAGGACAGAUUGGUUCUGGGAAUAACUUCUCAGUCCAAGGAGAUGGUGGUUGUGGUUCCUCUGUGGGCAACAACUCUGACCUUUGUGCUUCUGGAAACAACUCAGGAUCCAUCGGUUCAGGGAACUGUGAUACUGUCGGUGGAGGAAGAGGACACCAGACAAGUAUUGGAAACGCCACUAAUCUGGAU